GGGGCCUUAGCUCAGCUGGUAGAGCGCAACGCUGGCAGCGUUGAGGUCAGGAGUUCGAUCCUCCUAGGCUCCACCA
RNAcentral lists this transfer RNA (76 nucleotides) under Neptunomonas antarctica. It matches the Rfam family "tRNA". Rfam says of the family: Transfer RNA (tRNA) molecules are approximately 80 nucleotides in length. Lineage: Bacteria; Pseudomonadati; Pseudomonadota; Gammaproteobacteria; Oceanospirillales; Oceanospirillaceae. RNAcentral also lists the same sequence under 3 other names. The record is from RNAcentral.